AUUGAGGCGCUCCUGCAGCCUCCUCCCGGCACGGGACUCCUCACAACCCCCAGCCUCAGCUUCCCUGACAGGGCAGGGGCUCACUCUUCUCCACUCCGGGCCAGGAACGCAGCCUGCUUGCCUUUUGUCCAAUUGGGUGCUCUUUCUUUGCGACUGAUACAAAGUGGGAACAAACUCCGCUUCCGGUGAUGCCCGGGCCCCAGGAGGCUGGGGGAGAAGUGCACGCUGCCCAGCCUUCAACCUGAACUGCCCCCAGCACUUCCGAGCCCCGACCCCUGCAGCUGUGAGGGCCCAGGGGCUGCUGGCUGCCAGGACCACCGCAUUGCAGAGGUCUCCCUUGCAGCAAGAGAUCUGGGAGUCCACAACGGCACUUAACCUGCCCUCUGCCCUGGCACCCCAGGGACUCACUGCCAAAGACGCUCACUUUCUGGGAGACACAGACCCCAUCCAGGAAGGGGCACGAGACCACGCUGCAGGAGGCCCCUUCCAAGACCGCCAAGCAUCUGUAGCAGCGCAGACCCUGAGCUGGGAGAGAGGGCAAGGGCCACCAGCAGGACCAGGGACAAGGUCUUCAUGGCCUGGAGACUGCUCAUUCCAGGGUGCUAGUGCACAGACAAACUUCAGCGAAUCAGAGCAGCCCUCGGACUCCUCACCCUCCUGGGGAUCGAAUGAGUCCUGCACAGCAGCAAAGCCAGAACAUCCGGCUCUCCAUCUCCCACCCUGUCCUCAGCACAGUCACCCAAAGGAGAACUGUCUGCCUCACGCCCCCACCCCAGUCCCCAUUCCUCCCUCCCAUCCUUCCCUGCAAUUCUCACCCAGAGCCCCAUGGCUGUACUGCACCUCCUCUCCUUAGCGCCCCCACCCAGGACCCUCCCAGGCCUGGUCCACCCCUCCUCACUUUCCUCCCUCUGGCUGAUUCUCAGCCACUUGCCCUGCAGGCUUGCCAGAGAGAGGAAGGUGGGGCAGGGAGAGGCCCUGCCCUCAGCGGCUCCUCCCCUCAGGCUCUUCCUGACUGGCCCAGAACAAGGGUGGGUUCCUGAAUUUCCAUUUCACAGGAACUUGCUACUGGAGCAAU
This 1075-nucleotide long non-coding RNA is filed under the name Homo sapiens (human). RNAcentral describes it as "LY6S antisense RNA 1". Lineage: Eukaryota; Metazoa; Chordata; Mammalia; Primates; Hominidae. The record is from RNAcentral.